Molecule: long non-coding RNA, 287 nt
Organism: Perca flavescens (yellow perch)
Lineage: Eukaryota; Metazoa; Chordata; Actinopteri; Perciformes; Percidae
Exons: 4
Source: RefSeq, a predicted model, not a curated record
CUGGUGCUCUCUCUGUCUGCCCUCUCCUUAGGUACAUUAAGAUAAAGAUCCCAACUUCUCCAGGGUUCAGUUUCCUGUCUAAGGCCACGGCGAUGGCAGCUGAUGAUGGACCUUCAAGGCCAAGCUCUGAAGUGGAGAUGAAAACAUUGGUGACCGUUUUCAUCCAGUGUUGUACAUUUAGCAGCACAGGUCCUGAAUGUGUCGUCUGAGAGAGAGAGAGAGAGAGAGAGAGAGAGAGAGAGGUGGCUGGACUAUCAAAGAGCGAGAGUGAGAGGGCAAAGGAGAAU